AGUUCUGUGGUGAAACGGUUAUCACAUAUCCUUCACAUGGAUGGGUCGGCAGUUCAACUCUGCCCGGAACUACCA
RNAcentral lists this transfer RNA (75 nucleotides) under Alphaproteobacteria bacterium. RNAcentral describes it as "tRNA-Val". It matches the Rfam family "tRNA". Rfam says of the family: Transfer RNA (tRNA) molecules are approximately 80 nucleotides in length. Their secondary structure includes four short double-helical elements and three loops (D, anti-codon, and T loops). Further hydrogen bonds mediate the characteristic L-shaped molecular structure. tRNAs have two regions of fundamental functional importance: the anti-codon, which is responsible for specific mRNA codon recognition, and the 3' end, to which the tRNAs corresponding amino acid is attached (by aminoacyl-tRNA synthetases). tRNAs cope with the degeneracy of the genetic code in two manners: having more than one tRNA (with a specific anti-codon) for a particular amino acid; and 'wobble' base-pairing, i.e. permitting non-standard base-pairing at the 3rd anti-codon position. Lineage: Bacteria; Pseudomonadati; Pseudomonadota; Alphaproteobacteria. The record is from RNAcentral. RNAcentral also lists the same sequence under 1 other name.